AACGAACGCUGGCGGCGCGCCUAAUACAUGCAAGUCGAGCGAGAAGACGUAGCAAUACGUUUGUAAAGCGGCGAACGGGUGAGGAAUACAUGGGUAACCUACCCUCGAGUGGGGAAUAACUAGCCGAAAGGUUAGCUAAUACCGCGUACGCUCCUUGGACUUCGGUUCAGGGAGGAAAGCGAUACCGCGGGUAUCGCGCUCUUGGAUGGGCUCAUGUCCUAUCAGCUUGUUGGUGAGGUAACGGCUCACCAAGGCUUCGACGGGUAGCUGGUCUGAGAGGACGAUCAGCCACACUGGCACUGCGACACGGGCCAGACUCCUACGGGAGGCAGCAGUAAGGAAUAUUGCGCAAUGGGCGAAAGCCUGACGCAGCGACGCCGCGUGGGGGAUGAAGGUCUUCGGAUUGUAAACCCCUUUCGGGAGGGAGAUGGAACGAGCAAUCGUUCGGACGGUACCUCCAGAAGCAGCCACGGCUAACUUCGUGCCAGCAGCCGCCGCGGUAAC
RNAcentral lists this ribosomal RNA (504 nucleotides) under uncultured bacterium. RNAcentral's name for it is "bacterial SSU rRNA". It matches the Rfam family "Bacterial small subunit ribosomal RNA", at positions 29 to 524 of the family's 1533-position model. The record is from RNAcentral.